CCUACGGGUGGCAGCAGUGGGGAAUAUUGGACAAUGGGCGAAAGCCUGAUCCAGCCAUGCCGCGUGUGUGAAGAAGGCCUUCGGGUUGUAAAGCACUUUCAGUGGGGAAGAAAGCCUUGGGGCUAAUACCCUCGAGGAAGGACAUCACCCACAGAAGAAGCACCGGCUAACUCCGUGCCAGCAGCCGCGGUAAUACGGAGGGUGCGAGCGUUAAUCGGAAUUACUGGGCGUAAAGCGCGCGUAGGCGGUCUGAUAAGCCGGUUGUGAAAGCCCCGGGCUCAACCUGGGAACGGCAUCCGGAACUGUCAGGCUAGAUGGCAGGAGAGGAAGGUAGAAUUCCCGGUGUAGCGGUGAAAUGCGUAGAGAUCGGGAGGAAUACCAGUGGCGAAGGCGGCCUUCUGGACUGACACUGACGCUGAGGUGCGAAAGCGUGGGUAGCAAACAGGAUUAGAUACCCCUGUAGUC
RNAcentral lists this ribosomal RNA (465 nucleotides) under Vreelandella stevensii. Its description in RNAcentral is "partial 16S ribosomal RNA". It matches the Rfam family "Bacterial small subunit ribosomal RNA", at positions 338 to 795 of the family's 1533-position model. The record is from RNAcentral. Lineage: Bacteria; Pseudomonadati; Pseudomonadota; Gammaproteobacteria; Oceanospirillales; Halomonadaceae.